AAUGGGGGCAACCCUGAUCCAGCAAUGCCGCGUGUGUGAAGAAGGCCUGAGGGUUGUAAAGCACUUUCAGAAGCGAGGAAGGUACAUUAGUUAAUACCUGAUGUAAUUGACGUUAACUUCAGAAGAAGCACCGGCUAACUCCGUGCCAGCAGCCGCGGUAAUACGGAGGGUGCGAGCGUUAAUCGGAAUUACUGGGCGUAAAGAGCACGUAGGUGGUUUAUUAAGUUGGCUGUGAAAGCCCCGGGCUUAACCUGGGAUGGUCAGCCAAGACUGGUAAACUAGAGUACGGUAGAGGGGUGUGGAAUUUCCGGUGUAGCGGUGAAAUGCGUAGAGAUCGGAAGGAACACCAGUGGCGAAGGCGACACCCCGGACUGAUACUGACACUGAGGUGCGAAAGCGUGGGUAGCAAACAGGAUU
This 417-nucleotide ribosomal RNA is filed under the name uncultured Gammaproteobacteria bacterium. Its description in RNAcentral is "bacterial SSU rRNA". It matches the Rfam family "Bacterial small subunit ribosomal RNA", at positions 370 to 779 of the family's 1533-position model. The record is from RNAcentral. Lineage: Bacteria; Pseudomonadati; Pseudomonadota; Gammaproteobacteria.